AACCUUAUUUUUCAUUUCCCGCGCAGUACAUGCAGUAUUUUUCACAACGUAGGCAAUAUAUUAUCACCGAAUUUGUCUUUGUCGGCGUUUGUUUCUUUUGAAUACCGUGCCACGUAGGCAUUCGCGACAAGAAAGUGCACUCAGACAGAGCUCACAGCGUUGCCACAGGAUCUCUCCGAGGCAACCGAAGUCCCAGCGUAACAGAAUCGUCAUCGCGAUACGAAAAUACAAUAGGAACAGCACUUCACCAAUCUUCUGUUCAAGGUCACUACACAGAUGCCUCAAACAAACAUAGGGAAUAUCACUGCCUGGGGGUUUUGUAAAUGCUGCGUUGACACCACAUGGUUUGAGUGAAUCCGAAAGGACCUGAAAGAUAUAUCGUAAACUCCGUGCGACCAUUAUAUCAAGUGGGAUAUUGAGCAUGACGCAUGCAUUCGAAUUAUUGGUUUUCGCCGUCACUGUCUUCGCGGCAAAUAACACAGCGCGAAAAUACUGCUUGAGGCCGAAAGCGCCUGGCAGCACAUGUGGCGGAGGCCCGUUUACAUCGUGGUAUUUCGAUUCCAACACCCGCGAAUGCAAAGCGUUCAUCUUCGGUGGAUGCAACGGGAACCUGAACAGGUUUUCUUCCGAGAGACAGUGUCAGCGAUGGUGCUUACCUGGAAUUCCAGAGAACCCGGUGUGUAGCUUGGAUCAAGUUCAAGGACACGGCAUAGGCCAGUUUUUCGCCUGGUCAUAUGACUCCAAAGCAGACUAUUGUCGUGUAUUUAUGUACAGUGGAUCGGGCGGCAAUUCUAACAACUUUGGAAGUUGUUUUGAGUGCAUGAACAGAUGCAGCGGAAAUGAACACGCUGCGCAAAUCUGCCGCAUUAUGAAUCAUAAUAUUAUGGCUUACUCCUACAAAGGACUUCAAUUCAGCUUUCCUGGAAUUAAAUGAACAGCUUGAGGUUGUAUUUCGGACAAAAGAGAUCUACAGAAAUUGGAGAGGUAUAUACAUUAAAGUAUGCCAUCAUCUAAUAAGGCCAAGUGCAGAAAUAUAUUCUAGUUUACGCAGAACA
Dermacentor andersoni is the source of this 1055-nucleotide non-coding RNA. The record is from RefSeq and is a predicted model, not a curated record. NCBI's taxonomy places the organism in Eukaryota, Metazoa, Arthropoda, Arachnida, Ixodida, Ixodidae.